Molecule: RNA transcript, 549 nt
Organism: Nannospalax galili (Upper Galilee mountains blind mole rat)
Lineage: Eukaryota; Metazoa; Chordata; Mammalia; Rodentia; Spalacidae
Gene name: tubulin alpha-1C chain pseudogene
Exons: 1
Source: RefSeq, a predicted model, not a curated record
AUGCAUGAGUGCAUCUCCAUCCACGUUGGCCAGGCUAGUGUUCAGAUCGGCAACGCCUGCUGGGAGCUCUACUGCCUGGAACAUGGCAUACAGCCUGAUGGCCAAAUGCCAAGUAAUAAGACCAUUGGGGGAGGAGACGACUCCUUCAACAGUGAAACAGGUGCUGGCAAGCAUGUGCCCAAGGCAGUGUUUGUAGACCUGGAACCCACCAUGGUCAUUGAUGAAGUUCGCACUGGUACCUACUGCCAGCUCUUCCACCCUGAGCAGCUCUUCACAGGCAACAAAGAUGCUGCCAAUAACUAUGCCCAUGGGCAUUACACCAUUGGCGAGGAGAUCAUUGACCUUGUCUUGGACCGAAUUUGCAAGCUGGCUGGCCAGUGCACAGGUCUUCAGGGCUUCUUGGUUUUCCACAGCUUUGGUGGGGGAACUGGCUCUGGGUUCACCUCCCUGCUGAUGGAACGGCACUCUGUUGAUUAUGGAAAGAAGUCCAACCUAGAGUUCUCCAUCUAUCCAGCCCCCCAGGUUUCCACUGCUGUCAUUGAGCCCUAA